RNAcentral lists this unclassified non-coding RNA (210 nucleotides) under Hevea brasiliensis (rubber tree). The record is from RNAcentral. Lineage: Eukaryota; Viridiplantae; Streptophyta; Magnoliopsida; Malpighiales; Euphorbiaceae.
AAAAAUCUUAAAUCAAAUUCUUUCUUUUGCUAUUAUUUUCUAGUUCUUUCUUCUAUUCCCUUCUUUAAUUUCUCAUUUCCAGCGUUUCAACCCGUUUCUUGAAAUUCUUGAAAUUUUUCUAUGAAGAAUCAAUACAAUAGAUAUCUUUUUGCUUCUUCUCUUUUCUCUAAUUCUUCCUUUCAAUUUUGUUUCUCUUUUCAACUAAUCUCU